UUACAACGCUGGCAACAGCGAUAAGGGGACCUCGAGUGCCAGGAUACAAUCUUGGCUGUCGCGAUGCCUAAAAAGCAUUGCAUAGCAAGGGCCGGGCAAGACCGGUGCCAGCCGCCGCGGUAACACCGGCGGCUCGAGUGGUAACCGCUAUUAUUGGGUCUAAAGGGUCUGUAGCCGGCCGGAUAAGUCUUUUGGGAAAUCCAGCUGCUCAACAGUUGGGCUUUCAGAAGAUACUGUUCGGCUCGAGACCGGGAGAGGUGAGUGGUACUUCAGGGGUAGGGGUGAAAUCUUGUAAUCCUUGAAGGACCACCAGUGGCGAAGGCGUCUCACCAGAACGGAUCUGACGGCAAGGGACGAAAGCUAGGGGCACGAACCGGAUUAGAUACCCGGGUAGUCCUAGCCGUAAACGAUACUCGCUAGGUGUCAGCCACGGUGCGACCGUGGUUGGUGCCGUAGGGAAGCCGUGAAGCGAGCCACCUGGGAAGUACGGCCGCAAGGCUGAAACUUAAAGGAAUUGGCGGGGGAGCAC
RNAcentral lists this ribosomal RNA (529 nucleotides) under uncultured archaeon. Its description in RNAcentral is "bacterial SSU rRNA". It matches the Rfam family "Archaeal small subunit ribosomal RNA", at positions 350 to 879 of the family's 1478-position model. The record is from RNAcentral.